RNAcentral lists this ribosomal RNA (229 nucleotides) under Vibrio parahaemolyticus. RNAcentral describes it as "partial 16S ribosomal RNA". It matches the Rfam family "Bacterial small subunit ribosomal RNA", at positions 1314 to 1533 of the family's 1533-position model. The record is from RNAcentral. Lineage: Bacteria; Pseudomonadati; Pseudomonadota; Gammaproteobacteria; Vibrionales; Vibrionaceae.
GACUCCAUGAAGUCGGAAUCGCUAGUAAUCGUGGAUCAGAAUGCCACGGUGAAUACGUUCCCGGGCCUUGUACACACCGCCCGUCACACCAUGGGAGUGGGCUGCAAAAGAAGUAGGUAGUUUAACCUUCGGGGGGACGCUUACCACUUUGUGGUUCAUGACUGGGGUGAAGUCGUAACAAGGUAGCGCUAGGGGAACCUGGCGCUGGAUCACCUCCUUAAACGAUGAU